RNAcentral lists this ribosomal RNA (526 nucleotides) under uncultured fungus. RNAcentral's name for it is "eukaryotic LSU rRNA". The stretch from base 218 to 371 matches the Rfam family "5.8S ribosomal RNA". Lineage: Eukaryota; Fungi. The record is from RNAcentral.
CUUGGUCAUUUAGAGGAAGUAAAAGUCGUAACAAGGUCUCCGUUGGUGAACCAGCGGAGGGAUCAUUACCGAGUUUACAACUCCCAAACCCCUGUGAACAUACCUAUACGUUGCCUCGGCGGAUCAGCCCGCGCCCCGUAAAACGGGACGGCCCGCCCGAGGACCCCUAAACUCUGUUUUUAGUGGAACUUCUGAGUAAAACAAACAAAUAAAUCAAAACUUUCAACAACGGAUCUCUUGGUUCUGGCAUCGAUGAAGAACGCAGCAAAAUGCGAUAAGUAAUGUGAAUUGCAGAAUUCAGUGAAUCAUCGAAUCUUUGAACGCACAUUGCGCCCGCCAGUAUUCUGGCGGGCAUGCCUGUUCGAGCGUCAUUUCAACCCUCAAGCUCAGCUGGUGUUGGGACUCGCGGUAACCCGCGUUCCCCAAAUCGAUUGGCGGUCACGUCGAGCUUCCAUAGCGUAGUAAUCAUACACCUCGUUACUGGUAAUCGUCGCGGCCACGCCGUUAAACCCCAACUUCUGAAUGU